AUGUUCUGGAACAUGUGGGUUUUAAAGAAUUGCAACAGAAAAAACUCUGCAUUUUUGGUAUUUGCACUUUGCAAGCACAAAUUUAGUCUGAAGUUGUAUCUGCUACUUGUGGAAUUUGGUAUUGCGAAUUAUUUGCGCAAUAAACUUCCUCUGCUAAUUGUUGCAUUUAGCAGUUGGAUGCUAGUCGAUGUGCUUUCUGAGAGCACGAUUGCUACAGAACGUCACUCCCUGAGAAGAGUGACAGCUGAUGGCUGUUACAAAAGUUGCAUGAUUUGUACAGAUUCUUUAUUUCCUAGGCUGUGGAUCUCUUGGCAAGCAUCUGAUGGUCAGAGGUAA
Molecule: ribosomal RNA, 336 nt
Filed under: Triticum aestivum (bread wheat)
Lineage: Eukaryota; Viridiplantae; Streptophyta; Magnoliopsida; Poales; Poaceae
Description: partial small subunit ribosomal RNA
Source: RNAcentral